GUCUACAGCCAUGUCACUCUGAACAAGCCCAAUCCUGGCUGAUCUUGGUAGCUAAGCAGGGUUGGGUCUGGUUAGUACUUGGAUGGGAGACCACCUAGGAAGACCAGGUGCUGUAGGCA
This 119-nucleotide ribosomal RNA is filed under the name Pteropus alecto (black flying fox). Lineage: Eukaryota; Metazoa; Chordata; Mammalia; Chiroptera; Pteropodidae. The record is from RNAcentral.